RNAcentral lists this ribosomal RNA (497 nucleotides) under uncultured bacterium. Its description in RNAcentral is "partial 16S ribosomal RNA". It matches the Rfam family "Bacterial small subunit ribosomal RNA", at positions 28 to 507 of the family's 1533-position model. The record is from RNAcentral.
GAUGAACGCUGGCGGCGUGCCUAAUACAUGCAAGUCGAGCGAACGGACGAGAAGCUUGCUUUUCUGAUGUUAGCGGCGGACGGGUGAGUAACACGUGGAUAACCUACCUAUAAGACUGGGAUAACUUCGGGAAACCGGAGCUAAUACCGGAUCAUAUUUUGAACCGCAUGGUUCAAAAGUGAAAGACGGUCUUGCUGUCACUUAUAGAUGGAUCCGCGCUGCAUUAGCUAGUUGGUAAGGUAACGGCUUACCAAGGCAACGAUGCAUAGCCGACCUGAGAGGGUGAACGGCCACACUGGAACUGAGACACGGGCCAGACCCCUACGGGAGGCAGCAGUAGGGAAUCUUCCGCAAUGGGCGAAAGCCUGACGGAGCAACGCCGCGUGAGUGAUGAAGGUCUUCGGAUCGUAAAACUCUGUUAUUAGGGAAGAACAUAUGUGUAAGUAACUGUGCACAUCUUGACGGUACCUAAUCAGAAAGCCACGGCUAACUACGUG